Molecule: ribosomal RNA, 450 nt
Filed under: uncultured bacterium
Lineage: Bacteria
Description: bacterial SSU rRNA
Rfam family: Bacterial small subunit ribosomal RNA
Source: RNAcentral
CGAGCCGAGCGGCGGACGGGGGAGUAACACGUGAGCAACCUGCCCCUGGCGCGGGAUAACCCGGGGAAACUCGGGCAAUACCGCAUGGUUCGGCCCUGCCGCAGGUUGGUGGCUGGGAAAGGCGGCCUCUCAUGGAAGCUGCCGUGCAGGGAGGGGCUCGCGGCCUAUCAGCUGGUGGUGGGGUAACGGCCUACCAAGGCGACGACGGGUAGCGGGUCUGAGAGGACGACCCGCCACAUUGGGACUGAGACACGGCCCAGACUCCUUACGGGAGGCAGCAGUGGGGAAUCUUGCGCAAUGGCCGAGAGGCUGACGCAGCGACGCCGCGUGCGGGAGGAAGCCCUUCGGGGUGUAAACCGCUGUCACCGGGGACGAAUGUCGUGUGACCGAACAGGGAGCACGGUUGACGGUACCCGGAGAGGAAGUCGCCGGCUAACUCCGUGCCAGCAG